AGUAAUGUAUGGGGAUCUGCCCGAUAGAGGGGGAUAACUACUGGAAACGGUGGCUAAUACCACAUAAUGUCUACGGACCAAAGCAGGGGCUCUUCGGACCUUGCACUAUCGGAUGAACCCAUAUGGGAUUAGCUAGUAGGUGGGGUAAAGGCUCACCUAGGCGACGAUCUCUAGCUGGUCUGAGAGGAUGACCAGCCACACUGGGACUGAGGCACGGCCCAG
RNAcentral lists this ribosomal RNA (222 nucleotides) under uncultured bacterium. RNAcentral describes it as "partial 16S ribosomal RNA". It matches the Rfam family "Bacterial small subunit ribosomal RNA", at positions 109 to 334 of the family's 1533-position model. The record is from RNAcentral.